GGUGCGUGGAUGGUGUUUCUAGGGAAACCAGUGUCACCUUGGCCGACAGCCUGGUUUACCUCAUACCGGCAGGUGGGGCUGCCGCAGGCACCAAGGUCAGCGCCGUGUCCGGGCACGGCGAACACAAGGACGGCGGCCUGCUGGGGUCAGCGCACGCAGGACAAAAGAACGCGCGCGGGCCAGAGGGAGCGACCGGUCCACGUGACACGCCGCGACCUUGGGGCUCUCCCGGGCCGCCAGGCCACCUACUCCCUAGCCCGCCACCUUCGCGGCUCCGCCGCCAGAGCCAAUAGCGCUCGGCCCCCCGACCCCCGGCGCAAGUCCGCGUCCGCCAAUCUCCGCCCGCCUGGAGGACCCUGCCACGCCAUUGGCUAUAACGUCUGUCCGUCAGGUCUCGUCCCCCGCCCACCAUCGCCGCCCUCCGCCAGCCCGGCUCUGUCCGGCUUCACGCCCGUCACUCAGGCACUCCGGAAGCAAGGACGCAUAGGCCUCACCCUCGGCCGCGAGCUCCGGGUGUCAAGCGCCGAGCCUCCCAGCCCUGGACGGAGCCCGUCUGCCGCACAAGGUUACCUGUCUCCCGUUCAGCUCCACCCGAGUGAAGCGCCGACACCACUCCGGGCUCCAAACUCUCAGCCCCGCCCCGGCGUGUGGCGUCAACGCGUAGCCCGGCCCCAGAGGAGCGGCCUGCAAGACAGGCUGUGGGCGUGACGUGACGUCACAGAAUUGGGUUUCAGUCGCUCGCUCGGGCUUCGCGCCAAUGCAGAACUUUGCAUCUGGCCAAAGCCAGCCUGUUGCUCACUGUCUUUCGGCUGUCAUUAGCAGUUACACGGGAGACGCUUCCGAAGCUUGUUAAGAACCUGGUACAUUCAGGGCGUGGGAUGCCGUCUGAUAAUUGAAGCGUUUGGCGGGCCGAAGCAGGAGCGCUGCGACUUUGAGGCCCACGGGCUUUGUAUCCAAAACAAGCUGCCCUAAAUAAUAGUUGGGUUGGUAAAAUGUAUCCCUGCACAAAAUAAUUUGAAUAACAUGAGUGACUAUUUUGAACACUUGUUUUGCAGCAGUCCUUAUGAAGAUUAGUUAGCGAGGUCUAAUGUGACUUGGUUGUCAUGCGACUUGGGUGUUCCUGCUAGUAUUCUGACAGGAAGCUGUGCUGGGGUCCCCCUGGAUCUUCCUGGCUCCAGAGCCUGCUCUAAACAGACAAAAUCCACUAGUUAACCUGUUACACUUCACUAAUAUGAAAUGUUCCCCGUGUCAAAAUGUUAAGCCAGAGCCUGGCUGUGUGAGUGCACACCUUAAAGCAGAGCACUCAGAAGCAGAGGCAGGCUCAUCUCUGAGUUUGAGGUCAGCCUGGUCUACAGAGAGAGUUUCAGGGCCACAUAGAGAAACCCUGUCUUGGGAAACAAAAUAAAAAACUAACAAAAAUAUUCAGCCAGAUUUUGCAGCACACACCUGCAAUUUCAGAACAGAGAAAAACUGACCAAUUGGGAGGUCAAGAUGGGCUACAUAGAGUUCUUGUGGGCAGCCUGGGCUACACAGUUGGAUCAGGUCUCAAAAAGGAGAGUGGUUCAUUUCAUACUCAUGUCUUUUGUUGUUGUUGUUUGAGACAAUGGCAUGUAGCUGAGGCUGGAUUCAAUUUCAUAAUGUAGGCUGACCUUGCUCUGUUUCUUUUACCUGCAUAUACCAGGUGCUAGGACUAUAGCUAUAAGUCCCAUGCCCAGCUUCAUGCUCAUGGCCUUUAACUCUCCGCUUGUUUCUCUUUUUUAGCAGAGUAGUUUUUGAUGGACAGCAAUACAGACUGUCAGUUUAUCCUUGCUAUGUAUGGCAAAUGGCACCAGUGCUGGAUGAGCUGGCUGGAGAGUCCUUUUGCUCUACUGAAAUAGAAGUCACAAGUAGUCACAAGUAUGCCAGAAGCUCUUCAAGCUUUGGUAGCAGUGAUAGGCCACAGUACAAGGGCAGAAGCAUCAGCAAUGGUACACGUGAGUUGUCCUCCCAUGGACCUGGGGUAUAUCGUCCUAAGAAGCCUAAGGGCUAAGAAGCCAAGAUUCCUCAGCCCACAGUUAGAACUUGCUAUUGCAGCUUAAAUGUGGCCUAGGUACUCAAAUCCCUCUAUCCAGAUUGCAUAAAGAGUUAUAGAGGGGCUGGAGAGAUGACUCAGCAGUUAAGAGCACUGACUUCCAGAGGUCCUGAGUUCAAUUCCCAGCAACCACAUGAUGGCUCACAACCAUCUGUAAUGGGAUCCAAUACCCUCUUCUGGUGUGUCUGAAGACAGCAACAGUGUACUACUGAUAAACAUAAAAUAUCUUUAAAAAAAAAGUUACAGAGAUGUGUCAAGUCUUUAUGGCUAAGGGCCUUUUUUGUUUGUUUGUUUGUGUGUUUUUUUGAGACAGAGUUUUUCUGUGUAGCACUGGCUGUCCUGGAACUUACUCUGUUGACCAGGCUCUGCCUCCCAA
Long non-coding RNA from Mus musculus (house mouse), 2447 nucleotides. RefSeq annotates it as predicted gene, 46270. NCBI's taxonomy places the organism in Eukaryota, Metazoa, Chordata, Mammalia, Rodentia, Muridae. The record is from RefSeq and is marked validated. The transcript has a single exon.